UACGGGGGGGGUAAGCGUUGUUCGGAAUUACUGGGCGUAAAGGGCUCGUAGGCGGCCAACUAAGUCAGACGUGAAAUCCCUCAGCUUAACUGGGGAACUGCGUCUGAUACUGGAUGGCUUGGAUUCGGGAGAGGAAUGCGGAAUUCCAGGUGUAGCGGUGAAAUGCGUAGAUAUCUGGAGGAACACCGGUGGCGAAGGCGGCAUCCUGGACCGGUAUUGACGCUGAUGAGCGAAAGCCAGGGGAGCAAACGGG
This 253-nucleotide ribosomal RNA is filed under the name uncultured bacterium. Its description in RNAcentral is "partial 16S ribosomal RNA". It matches the Rfam family "Bacterial small subunit ribosomal RNA", at positions 524 to 776 of the family's 1533-position model. The record is from RNAcentral.